Equus caballus (horse) is the source of this 814-nucleotide non-coding RNA. NCBI's taxonomy places the organism in Eukaryota, Metazoa, Chordata, Mammalia, Perissodactyla, Equidae. The record is from RefSeq and is a predicted model, not a curated record.
CUUUUCCUUCCUUAGAGGGCACGUACGCACAAAGCUGCGGCUCACAGACCCCAUGACCCUCAUCUUUGCUUGAGUUCCGUGAAAAACCUUCCAUCUCCAGGUGUUACUUGAUGGCUAGACUAAUAUUUGCCACCAUCGCAGGACAGCCAUCAGAUAAAAGCGAUCUGAGGCAGCGGAAGUAGGAAUCUGUCACUCACUUGAUUCAGAUCUCAUCUGGCUGCAUAUCUAGAGGACUGCUUGAAGGUGGGGAAAGUAGGCUCGGAGAGGUUAACUAACGUGCUCAAGAUCUCGUGCUAAAACCUCAUGACAGGGAUUUUUAUUGAUUGCACCGUUUUGCAGAUGAAGAAAUAAGACUGGGAGAGGUGAAUCGACUUGGCUAAAUUGACAAAAUUAGUGAGCAGUGAAGGGAAUCCUCAUAACCAGCUUCCACUGAAAAGGACAGCUGAAAUCCUAAAACUAUGGAGUAUCAACACUGGAGAAAACCCAAGAGAUUGAAGCUUCUAAACUGAGCCAGUGCAAGAGAGGAGAGGAAGAGCCUGCACCAACUGCCCAAUCUCUGCACCACCACAACCCUGCCUUUUUGCCUCAUCCUCUGGAGCUGCCAUGUUGCAUGACUCCAUUCAUGCUGUUGUCAGCCAGCAGCCUGGGCUCCCGAAUUUACAGCAUCUGUGGUCCUCAGCUCUCUAGCGCACAUGCAUGUACUUGAGAAGCCAUGUGUCUUUCCAUCAUGAGGUUUAAAAUGGGUAAGCUCAUUCUCAGCAAAUGGCAGGUAUGCCUCUCCAGGUGGGAGGGCAUGACAUUUCUGCUGCGUGCC